GACGAACGCUGGCGGCGUGCUUAACACAUGCAAGUCGAACGGAAAGGUCUGCUUUCCCUUGUGGAUUGCGUGUGCUCGAGUGGCGAACUGGUGAGUAACACGUGAGUCAUCUGCCCCCAACUUGGGUAUAAGCCUGGGAGACUAGGUCUAAUUCCCUAUAGGACUGCAUGGUUGAGCCUGUGAUGGAAAACUUUUUUCUAGUGGUUGGUGAUGCGCUCGCGGCCUAUCAGGUUGGUGGAGGGGUGAUCGCCUACCAAGGCGGCGACGGGUAGCCGGCCUGGGAGCGGGGACGGUGAAACUGGGACUGGGACCAGGCCCCGACUCGUACGGGAGGUAGGAGUGGGGACUAUUGGACAAUGGGCCGAAGGCUGAUGCAGCGACGGCGUGUGGGGGAUGAUGGCCUUCGGGUUGUAUACUACUUUCGAAGGAGAGGAAUGUAAGUGGUUGGGAGGGUCGUGACGGUAGUGGUAGAAGAAGCCACGGCUAACUACGUG
This 494-nucleotide ribosomal RNA is filed under the name uncultured bacterium. Its description in RNAcentral is "partial 16S ribosomal RNA". It matches the Rfam family "Bacterial small subunit ribosomal RNA", at positions 28 to 507 of the family's 1533-position model. The record is from RNAcentral.